RNAcentral lists this transfer RNA (72 nucleotides) under Heterostelium pallidum. RNAcentral describes it as "tRNA-Phe". It matches the Rfam family "tRNA". Rfam says of the family: Transfer RNA (tRNA) molecules are approximately 80 nucleotides in length. The record is from RNAcentral. Lineage: Eukaryota; Evosea; Eumycetozoa; Acytosteliales; Acytosteliaceae.
UAACUAAUAACUCAGGGGGAGAGUGAAAGACUGAAAAUCUUUAAGGCAGUGGUUCAAAUCCAUUUUAGUUAG